Molecule: ribosomal RNA, 393 nt
Filed under: uncultured bacterium
Lineage: Bacteria
Description: bacterial SSU rRNA
Rfam family: Bacterial small subunit ribosomal RNA
Source: RNAcentral
AUUGAACGCUGGCGGAAUGCUUUACACAUGCAAGUCGAGCGGCAGCGCGGGGGGCAACCCUGGCGGCGAGCGGCGAACGGGUGAGUAAUACAUCGGAACGUGUCCUUAAGUGGGGGGUAGCUCGGCGAAAGCCGGAUUAAUACCGCAUAAGCUCUGAGGAGGAAAGCGGGGGCUCCGUAAGGACCUCGCGCUGUUGGAGCGGCCGAUGUCGGAUUAGCUAGUUGGUGGGGUAAAGGCCCACCAAGGCGACGAUCCGUAGCUGGUCUGAGAGGAUGAUCAGCCACACUGGAACUGAGACACGGUCCAGACUCCUACGGGAGGCAGCAGUGGGGAAUUUUGGACAAUGGGGGCAACCCUGAUCCAGCCAUUCCGCGUGAGUGAAGAAGGCCUUGG